Molecule: ribosomal RNA, 495 nt
Filed under: uncultured bacterium
Lineage: Bacteria
Description: partial 16S ribosomal RNA
Rfam family: Bacterial small subunit ribosomal RNA
Source: RNAcentral
GACGAACGCUGGCGGCGUGCCUAAUACAUGCAAGUAGAACGCUGAAGGAGGAGCUUGCUCUUCUGGAUGAGUUGCGAACGGGUGAGUAACGCGUAGGUAACCUGCCUGGUAGCGGGGGAUAACUAUUGGAAACGAUAGCUAAUACCGCAUAAUAGUAGCUGUUGCAUGAUAUUUACUUAAAAGGUGCAAUUGCACCACUACCAGUUGGACCUGCGUUGUAUUAGCUAGUUGGUGGGGUAACGGCUCACCAAGGCGACGAUACAUAGCCGACCUGAGAGGGUGAUAGGCCACACUGAGACUGAGACACGGCCCAGACUCCUACGGGAGGGAGCAGUAGGGAAUCUUCGGCAAGGGACGAAAGUCUGACCGAGCAACGCCGCGGGAGUGAAGAAGGUUUUCGGAUCGUAAAGCUCUGUUGUAAGAGAAGAACGAGUGUGAGAGUGGAAAGUUCACACUGUGACGGUAACUUACCAGAAAGGGACGGCUAACUACGUG